Long non-coding RNA from Myiozetetes cayanensis, 421 nucleotides. RefSeq lists it as uncharacterized. The transcript has 3 exons. Lineage: Eukaryota; Metazoa; Chordata; Aves; Passeriformes; Tyrannidae. The record is from RefSeq and is a predicted model, not a curated record.
UUGCAUGAUGUGAACCAUGGCUGACAGAAGCGAGGGGGAAUCAAAGAGUGAGCAACUUUUGACAACACACGCUUCACAGCUCUGACCACUGAGGAUCUACAUGAUUAUCUCCAGACAAAAUAACUGCUACAGCAGAGACACACGUUGUAAGCAGCCAGCCCAAGGUUAGCAAGCACUGAGUGAGCACAGCCCCUCACAACCAGAGACCUUCACCUUGAUGCCUCCCAGAGGGAAAAUUGGAAUGGGAUGUAGAUAGCAAUCAGUGCCAAGAGGUUUUUGUCAGCAAGGAAAUGCAGACCACCGCGUCCUUUCUUCCUUUACAUCUGACUUCACAUCCCCCACCAACAUCCCCUCUUUUGAAACUUUUCCACGUGAAAAUGUUUAGUACCUGUGUGGGAGCUCCACGCCAGUGGGAGAAAUU